Molecule: long non-coding RNA, 299 nt
Filed under: Mytilus galloprovincialis (Mediterranean mussel)
Lineage: Eukaryota; Metazoa; Mollusca; Bivalvia; Mytilida; Mytilidae
Source: RNAcentral
UGCUAGAUAGGGACCUCUCAAUGAGUUGUUAUAAGGAUUAUUCAACAUGCUAUGAGCGUGGCACUAAAUCAACCAAAGAGAUGUACUCUCUAGCAUGGGUUUUUGGUGUAGGAGAAAUCAAGGGAUGACCAUAUUUCUAUAUCGAAGCUAUCCCUUUGGGACACUGUGAGUCAAGGAAAUAUAAUUGCCCCAUCGCCAUCUUAAGUUGCAAUGACAUUUUCACAGAAUUUGGUUUAAAAAGAUUGAUAGGUAGUUGACAAGGUAACAGUCCAAAGAAAGACAUGUUACCCAAGUCUGCC